ACAGAUGAAUAGAGUAAUUCACAGUCGUCUCAACUCUCAAGACUCAAGAGGAAGGAAGAGAAGCCUACCAACGUCGCCAAAUCAACUCGCCGGAGUUCCGUUGCAUGUAAUAUGAUAUUGUGGUGAAGUUCUAUUUUAUAUAAUUGAAUGAAUAGAGAGUAGAGAACAAAGAUACCUCGAUGGAGGUCAAAAUCUGGAAAAAGAGUUUUAAAGAAAUAACGGCGUCGUUGCUAAAACACGUUUGAAGAAGAGGAAUAAAGAAAACGUAAUGUUGAAGAAGAAAGCAUAAUGAAAGUCGACAAUUGGAAUUGGAACGAAAGUUGAAGACGUAUUAUUGGAGUAUUUGAUAUGUAUCUAUUAAAAUUUGAAUUGAAAAAGCUGAUUUUUUGGGAUUCUUUGAAAUCUUUAAAAUGAUUCAAAAAAUAAUUAGGAUAUGUAACCAAAGAUUUACGUCAAUUGUUUUUGUUUCCAAAAAAACAUGGAAUUUGAAUUUGAAUUUGAAACCUUGAACCAUUCAAUAAUAA
Molecule: long non-coding RNA, 524 nt
Organism: Lactuca sativa (garden lettuce)
Lineage: Eukaryota; Viridiplantae; Streptophyta; Magnoliopsida; Asterales; Asteraceae
Source: RefSeq, a predicted model, not a curated record